This 71-nucleotide transfer RNA is filed under the name Alphaproteobacteria bacterium. Its description in RNAcentral is "tRNA-Leu". It matches the Rfam family "tRNA". Rfam says of the family: Transfer RNA (tRNA) molecules are approximately 80 nucleotides in length. Their secondary structure includes four short double-helical elements and three loops (D, anti-codon, and T loops). Lineage: Bacteria; Pseudomonadati; Pseudomonadota; Alphaproteobacteria. The record is from RNAcentral.
GCAAGCUAGCUCAACGGUAGAGCAUCAGACUCAGGAUCUGAUUGUUGUGGGUUCGAUUCCCACGCUUUGCA